Long non-coding RNA from Octopus bimaculoides (California two-spot octopus), 515 nucleotides. NCBI's taxonomy places the organism in Eukaryota, Metazoa, Mollusca, Cephalopoda, Octopoda, Octopodidae. The record is from RefSeq and is a predicted model, not a curated record.
AAGCGACUGCUAUAAGUGAGGAAAAACAUAGCUAGUGAAAGUGAUAAUAGAAUAUUAUAUGACAUUAUAAAUACUUUGUUUCUAAAGGAUUUCCUGGUAUCUGAAUUAGGUCGCAAUCAACCCCUUUUGCUGUCACUUCUAGGACGCUUAUAACGAAAGAUGAUCAUCCAUGACUCAUAGACGACUGACCCUUUGCUGGUGUCCCAUAAACUCUUAGUCCUUCUGAAAAUCAUUUUCGAUGGCACCAUACACAGUACAAACAACAACGAAGAUGAAUCACAAACAGACACAUCCUUAGGGAAUGCCCUCUACAAACAUAUCGAUCAUAGCAAGAUAAAGACUCAAAUAAUUAGGUCAUCAGGUAUUUUUCUGCUCUAGCUUGUCUUUGAAGUGAUCAGACGUUUACUUCCUGAACACCUCCGCCUAUCGAUACAGCUGGUGUAGCAGUUAUUGGAAAUAAUUUACUUUCAAACAGAAACAGAACGAAAAAUGAAUUCAAAGAAACGAAAUUACAA